Molecule: non-coding RNA, 424 nt
Organism: Theobroma cacao (cacao)
Lineage: Eukaryota; Viridiplantae; Streptophyta; Magnoliopsida; Malvales; Malvaceae
Source: RefSeq, a predicted model, not a curated record
UUCAUUCUCAUUAGUUGCUUGGGUUUGUUUCUCCUCUCUCCACUUCUGGUCUACAUGUUUUCUCAACAAUGGCGUCCUUCUCGAUCUGUCCACUUGCUGAACAAUCUCUCAUCGGCAAGCGAUAUUUUUGGAUUUUUCGUCUGGCCGAUAGGGUAGGUUAAUGUCAAGGUAGGGUACUUUAGAGGUGUUGCAGAGGUAGGUUUAUCAUGGUGGCAGGAGGAUUGUACCGUAAUUGAAAUAUUGAAAAGGUAAAAGAAAUCUUUUUGGUAUCAUUAUGUAACUAUAACUACUCCAAGAAAAAUUUUAAUGAAGUCUCUAUUGGAAAUUGUUUGGGUUUUUUAUCCCUUGUCUGUCAAUAUAUAUGCAUUUUUUCCCUAAUAUGCACAUUAAGUGCUCUUUAGUAACAUGUCUUUUACUUGGCUUA